This 301-nucleotide ribosomal RNA is filed under the name uncultured bacterium. Its description in RNAcentral is "partial 16S ribosomal RNA". It matches the Rfam family "Bacterial small subunit ribosomal RNA", at positions 509 to 807 of the family's 1533-position model. The record is from RNAcentral.
CAGCCGCCGCGGUAAUACGAAGGGGGCUAGCGUUGCUCGGAAUGACUGGGCGUAAAGGGCGCGUAGGCGGCGUGGUAAGUCAGAUGUGAAAUCCCGGGGCUCAACCCCGGAACUGCAUCCGAUACUGCCAUGCUAGAGGAUUGGAGAGGUAGCUGGAAUUCUUGGUGUAGCAGUGAAAUGCGUGGAGAUCAAGAGGAACACUCGUGGCGAAAGCGAGCUACUGGACAAUAACUGACGCUGAGGCUCGAAGGCCAGGGUAGCGAAAGGGAUUAGAUACCCCGGUAGUCCCUGUCUCUUAUAC